UGCAUGGUGGAAAAGGGUAAGCUGGCACAGAGACAAUUCAUCAAGCCCCAAAGAAUAGGAUGGGUAUAUGCCCAUUCUGUAUCUUUUCCUUACAGGUGAACAUAAAAACCUGAUGGUACAAUAGGUGAUGUGAUGAUGCUAUUGAAAUCUAAAACUGCCCCUUAGGAGGUUUUAAAAAUUAAAAAAAAGUUUUGAAAAGAGAGUUAAAAGUUUACUUGUAUAAUGUAAUUUGAUUUAUAUCCUAUGUUACAGUUUGGAUGUGUCUUAAAAGAAGGCAAAGAUGCUAAGUUCAGAUUCUCAAGUUUGUAACUCUGGCACUUGUAAUUCUUACAUUAAGGAAAACUGUCAUUUGAAUUCAGAGGUGUUCUAGGCAGUAACUCAGACUGCAGAAAAAAAAAAAAUGGCCCUUUUUAAAUAGGCCACCCUGAGGCAAUGGACUGUGACUAGUGCCCCUAGAUUUCAGAGUUCUUCAAAUACAAUUGAAAACUAAAGUGUAAAUGUUAAAGCAGAGGUUACUGUUAGGCUAAAAAAAAAUUAAAAUUAGCCAGGAA
This is a long non-coding RNA of Perognathus longimembris pacificus (Pacific pocket mouse), 551 nucleotides long. RefSeq lists it as uncharacterized. The transcript has 5 exons. NCBI's taxonomy places the organism in Eukaryota, Metazoa, Chordata, Mammalia, Rodentia, Heteromyidae. The record is from RefSeq and is a predicted model, not a curated record.